Molecule: ribosomal RNA, 253 nt
Filed under: uncultured bacterium
Lineage: Bacteria
Description: partial 16S ribosomal RNA
Rfam family: Bacterial small subunit ribosomal RNA
Source: RNAcentral
UACAGAGGUCCCAAGCGUUGUUCGGAUUCAUUGGGCGUAAAGGGUGCGUAGGCGGCGCGGUAAGUCGGGUGUGAAAUCUCGGAGCUUAACUCCGAAACUGCAUUCGAUACUGCCGUGCUUGAGGACUGGAGAGGAGACUGGAAUUUACAGUGUAGCGGUGAAAUGCGUAGAUAUCGUAAGGAAGACCAGUGGCGAAGGCGGGUCUCUGGACAGUUCCUGACGCUGAGGCACGAAGGCCAGGGGAGCAAACGGG